RNAcentral lists this ribosomal RNA (600 nucleotides) under uncultured Xylariales. RNAcentral's name for it is "eukaryotic LSU rRNA". The stretch from base 224 to 377 matches the Rfam family "5.8S ribosomal RNA". The record is from RNAcentral. Lineage: Eukaryota; Fungi; Ascomycota; Sordariomycetes; Xylariales.
AGCUCGUGGUGACAGCGGAGGAUCAUUAAAGAGUUUUUUAACUCCUAAAACCAUGUGAAUUUACCUAUGUUGCCUCGGCGGGGAAACCUACCCGGGGGCUGCUCUGAGUGGCCUACCCCGGUACCUACCCGGUAGCUACGCUGUAGUUGUAGGCUUACCCGCCGGCGGACCAUUCAAACUCUUAGUUUUCUGGCAAUUCUGAAUUAUUAUCAUAAUAAGUUAAAACUUUCAACAACGGAUCUCUUGGUUCUGGCAUCGAUGAAGAGCGCAGCGAAAUGCGAUAAGUAAUGUGAAUUGCAGAAUUCAGUGAAUCAUCGAAUCUUUGAACGCACAUUGCGCCCAUUAGUAUUCUAGUGGGCAUGCCUGUUCGAGCGUCAUUUCAACCCUUAAGCCCCUGUUGCUUAGCGUUGGGAGCCUACAGAAAUCCUCUGUAGUUCCUUAAAGCUAGUGGCGGAGUCGGUUUCAUACUCUAGACGUAGUAAAUUUUAUCUCGCCUAUAGAUGAGCCGGUCCCCUGCCGUAAAACCCCCUAAUUUCUAAAGGUUGACCUCGGAUCAGGUAGGAAUACCCGCUGAACUUAAGCAUAUCAAUAAGCGGAGGA